This 27-nucleotide non-coding RNA is filed under the name Mus musculus (house mouse). Lineage: Eukaryota; Metazoa; Chordata; Mammalia; Rodentia; Muridae. The record is from RNAcentral.
UAGCUCUGGAAGAACUCGAAUACUUGG